Homo sapiens (human) is the source of this 998-nucleotide long non-coding RNA. Ensembl annotates it as DSC1/DSC2 antisense RNA. Its record names the gene DSCAS. NCBI's taxonomy places the organism in Eukaryota, Metazoa, Chordata, Mammalia, Primates, Hominidae. The record is from Ensembl.
GCACUCCCGCCCCGGCGCACUCCGACCCCGGCGCACUCCCGCCCCGGCGCACCCUGCUCCCCGGCGCGUACCCAGGGGCCACGAUUUUGGCUGGGCGAAAGCGGCCCGCUCCCGCCUCUCCUUGAGUGCGCUGAUUACAUCUACCGGAGACACCUUCCCUUCCCUUGGGGAUCCCAACUCUCAGCUCUUCAGAAAGCAAUGACAAGGCAUCUGACUCAUCCUCCUGCACCUCUUUUCAAUUACUGACUUAAACCAGGUGAUCUAGAAACUCCAGUCCCUCUUCUUCCUGCCGAUCGCUGCAGCAACCUACUGAGCCGGCCAGAGAACCUUUGCCUUCAUAGUUAUACGAACAAACGUAGUCUUCACAAUGUUUAUGCUCCUCAUCUUGUCCACACAAAUACACCUUCUGUAUCAAAAAAGAGCACAUUUUAUUAUUUUUUAAAAAACACCUAAACAUAUUAGCAGAAAAAUGAUGUCUUUGAUUUACCUUUUACUGUUUAAUUUUUAAUCAGAGUGUGUCCUCUAAUGGAUUCCUAUAUAUAAAAAAUGCACAGGAUUGGUCUGUAUUAUAGUCACUCUUAAAAUAUAGCAAAUAAAUAAAUGCUUCUAGUGAGCACAUUUAAAAAAUUAAGACUACGCAUAUAUCACGCAACACAUUUAUAAUUUCCCAUUUGAACACAAAACAUGUAUAUUUGAAAUUUACCUUUGUAGCUUCUUCACGUAUUUGAGGAAAACCAAUAUAGGCUAUGAUUCCUAUGUUUAUACACUACUAUAUAACUGUGAUAGUGUAAUAUAUUAAACUGGCUAAUAUCAAACCUAUACUGAUUAAUCUGAACAUAAAACAAAACAAGGAACUAAAACUCAAAAUAAAAGCUCAACAAUUUAUCUGGUUGAUUUUGAUAGCCAGGACUUCAUAACCACACAAAGAACUCAAGCACACUGAGAAAUGUUUAUAAUUUAUGAUCCAUUCAUUCCUGUAUAAUAAAUAUUUCACUCCA